UUUUCCUGCUGUGUGUGUGUGUACUUUUUCCUCCCUCUUACUCUAUCUGGUUUCUGAUAGGAUGCCUACUGAUUGGAUGUACGAUCGCCAUUGGUGGUGGAGACAAGGCGGGGACUUUAAAAAGGACGCUGCCGGCAUUCAACGGGGAGCUCAUUAUUGGUUCGGACGCGGUUGGGUUGAGAGCUCCUGGAUCCCUUCUCCGGCCGAUGAUCAAAUUUGUCACUUUCGAGUAGCAAGUAAAUGCUAGUGAUCACGUUCUUGCCUUUUCGACCUUGUGUGUUUAGAACGUGGAGCAAAGGGGUGUCCUGCCGAUUUGUUUUGGCUAUCUGUUUGGGUUCUGUUUUGUGUUAGGAAGUUAGGGAAGUAAGAUGUAUUUUACUUUUAUUAUUUGAGGUUAGUUAUUACUCUUUUCGUUUCUAGAUUUGUUUUGUUUGUUAUUUUGGCCUUUGGGACACCCUGGAGAGAUGCUCUGUUUCACUUGUUAACUUUUAAUAAAUCUAAUAACUUAUACUGAUUAACAUCUUGUACCUGUUUGAUUAUCGACCGGAGUGACUCGUUCUUGGGAUUCCAUCACCACAACCCAGUCUUAUUACGCCCUAUUUAGAGUUUUCUACUACCCUUAGGCCCAGGGCGUAAUAAUUGGGGGCUCGUCCAAUUCUAUUGACUUGUUUUUGUUUGUUAUUCGUUCGAUGCGAAUUAAGGGGUUUGCGGCUCUGCUGGAUGCCUACUGAUUGGAUGUACGAUCGCCAUUGGUGGUGGAGACAAGGCGGGGACUUUAAAAAGGACGCUGCCGGCAUUCAACGGGGAGCUCAUUAUUGGUUCGGACGCGGUUGGGUUGAGAGCUCCUGGAUCCCUUCUCCGGCCGAUGAUCAAAUUUGUCACUUUCGAGUAGCAAGUAAAUGCUAGUGAUCACGUUCUUGCCUUUUCGACCUUGUGUGUUUAGAACGUGGAGCAAAGGGGUGUCCUGCCGAUUUGUUUUGGCUAUCUGUUUGGGUUCUGUUUUGUGUUAGGAAGUUAGGGAAGUAAGAUGUAUUUUACUUUUAUUAUUUGAGGUUAGUUAUUACUCUUUUCGUUUCUAGAUUUGUUUUGUUUGUUAUUUUGGCCUUUGGGACACCCUGGAGAGAUGCUCUGUUUCACUUGUUAACUUUUAAUAAAUCUAAUAACUUAUA
Long non-coding RNA from Carassius gibelio (silver crucian carp), 1169 nucleotides. RefSeq lists it as uncharacterized. Lineage: Eukaryota; Metazoa; Chordata; Actinopteri; Cypriniformes; Cyprinidae. The transcript is spliced from 2 exons. The record is from RefSeq and is a predicted model, not a curated record.